GUACAAAUCACAAAUGUGGGAACCAGGAAAAGUUGGUUCAACUACACUUGCACUUCCAUAAAAUGUAGAAAGGGUGUGGAGCCCAACCCAAGUAACGUGUUUUGGUGUGACUCAUGUAACACUGAGAUUUGAUGAUAUCACCGAUAACGAGUUGUCUGGGGCUCAUGGAAGAAAAAGGCGUAUAGUGAUGUCGGACUCAGAAGAUGAGCUCGAAGAGGAUUCGAAAGGCAAGAAACAAGCAUACUAUGAACCAUAAAAAACAUCAAUCAUAAUAAGUUUUCAACAUACAGACUUGAAUCACUGUUUCCUUAAGCAUUUUCUUUUACGUGUUGAGGUGCAACUCAUCAUUGUCUCCAUCGUAUGUUUAUGA
This is a long non-coding RNA of Erigeron canadensis, 370 nucleotides long. RefSeq lists it as uncharacterized. The transcript has 3 exons. Lineage: Eukaryota; Viridiplantae; Streptophyta; Magnoliopsida; Asterales; Asteraceae. The record is from RefSeq and is a predicted model, not a curated record.